This 1280-nucleotide long non-coding RNA is filed under the name Oncorhynchus kisutch (coho salmon). Its description in RNAcentral is "lncRNA (ENSOKIG00005004464.1)". The record is from RNAcentral. Lineage: Eukaryota; Metazoa; Chordata; Actinopteri; Salmoniformes; Salmonidae.
ACCGUGUCAACGGAACACGCGCUUUAAUCAUCAACUGUCUGUCACUAGCAGGCUGACUCGAGAUAACCUUGAGCACCUGCCCAUGUUUUUCUCUGACUCUUAGUGCUGUCUCGCGCUCAGCAUCAGCCACAACCCGCGCGAGAAGCAAUAGGUCCGUAGGCGCCAGAAAUCCUAGGCACGAGACACCUAGCGCUCUAGACUCUAGCUGAAACGCGGGAAGGGUCCUGGUGUCAGGCAAAGGUGAGCCCGGAGGUGAACAACUCCAACUGACAAAAAACAGCAUAUUAACCGGAGAAUAAACAAUACGAGGAUGACCGCUGUGGCGGAGGGCUGCGGCGUGAAGAUGAUGAAGAUGAUGAUGUCUACAGUAAAUAUGCCCGUCAUGGAGAUGUGUUGGUGGGUGCUCAGCCUGUCCAGUCCGUCCACCCACGGUGAAGGAGAAGGUAAACUGAAGAGUAGGUGGAUGCCAGUGAGACUGUUGGCAUAUCCUCUCCCCGUCCGUGCCAAGCGUUUCUACCCAUACGCCACGUCUGGCGAGGGGCGUCCCUGGCACUCUGCCCAGUACCCUCUCUCCUCUCUGCUCGCUCCCCAAAGAAGAUGGGGAUGGAGAGAGACAAUCCUCUUUAGAGAUAAGUGAGCUUCCUAGCGCAUGUGGAGCCAGAUCCAUUCAAUGUGUUCCUGAAAAUCUCCUCCCCAUUCAGUCAGUCAAUGAGGAAAAAAAAUUGCUGAGUGUUGCCGCUGUAUCAACAAGCCAUGACGUGAGCUCUUUCACCCACCCCUCUCUCUUUCUCUCUCCAUCUCAACAAACCUACUACACCCUCUCCUUUCUUUCUUUCUUUCUUUCUUUCUCUCUUUCUCUCUGGAUUCUCCUUCCUGUUUCCCUGCCCGGCUGCUUCCUGUUGGACUUCCUGUAUGGUCACAUGACAAGUUCCUGUCAGUCUAUUGAAUACGACCCUGCUCAGCCUCCCACACACCCACUCACAACUGAGACAGUCCAGACCAGACGAUGCAAAAACUUGAGGAAAACAUGCCUCAGCAAAUAUUGGCUUGCAUUGUCGUUGAUUUAAUAAAACCUCUGCAGUAGCUAAGGCUAUACUCUUGCUAUGUACAUCCCAUCAGCAAAAUAAUCUCUCUAGUUCUCUGGAAUUCCUCUCAGUGUCAGCGAUUGGGUGCAGAGAUGUAGCGGAGUCAGGCACAGGACACAGGUUUGAGCAACACAACAGAGUUUACUCAAAAAAGUCAAGCAAAAAUUCCAAAUAGGAACAUACAUGUACACUAGC